RNAcentral lists this ribosomal RNA (492 nucleotides) under uncultured bacterium. RNAcentral describes it as "partial 16S ribosomal RNA". It matches the Rfam family "Bacterial small subunit ribosomal RNA", at positions 29 to 507 of the family's 1533-position model. The record is from RNAcentral.
AAUGAACGCUGGCGGCGGGCCUAACACAUGCAAGUCGAACGGAAGCACUGUACUAGCUUGUGCUUCCAGGUGCCGAGAGGCGGAUGAGUCGCGUAAAUAUCCUUAUCUUGUCUUUAGUAGGCCCUCAAGAAGGGGAUCAUACUCUAAUACAGGUGAUGAUGCACGAUGGAAAGCGUUGGAUCUUACGAGCUUGGGAGAAUGUAUGUCCAUUUGUCGGAUUAGCUAGUUGGCGGGGUAAAGGCCUACCAAGGCGACGAUCCGCUGCUGGACUGAGAGGAUGAUCGGCCACACUGGAACUGAGACACGGUCCAGACUCCUACGGGAGGCAGCAGUGGGGAAUAUUGGACAAUGGGCGCAAGCCUGAUCCAGCCAUGCCGCGUGGGUGAAGAAGGCCUUCGGAUUGUAAAGCCCUUUUGUUGGGGAAGAAAAGCAGUAGGUUAAUACCCCGCUGUUCUGACGGUACCCAAAGAAUAAGCACCGGCUAACUUCGUG